This 552-nucleotide ribosomal RNA is filed under the name uncultured Inocybe. RNAcentral describes it as "eukaryotic LSU rRNA". The stretch from base 187 to 340 matches the Rfam family "5.8S ribosomal RNA". Lineage: Eukaryota; Fungi; Basidiomycota; Agaricomycetes; Agaricales; Cortinariaceae. The record is from RNAcentral.
AGCAGGCUGUUGCUGGCUUGAGUGCAUGUGCACGCUUGUUUCUAUCUUUAUUUCUCCCAACUGUGCACAACUUGUAGACCCUUUUUGAGGAUUGCUCGUGCUUCAAAAGCCAGCUUUGCUUCAGGUCUAUGUUUUUAACAAUCUCUGAAUGUAUUAGAAUGAUUAGAGUCUGGGGAAUAUACAUACAACUUUCAGCAACGGAUCUCUUGGCUCUCGCAUCGAUGAAGAACGCAGCGAAAUGCGAUAAGUAAUGUGAAUUGCAGAAUUCAGUGAAUCAUCGAAUCUUUGAACGCAUCUUGCGCUCCUUGGUAUUCCGAGGAGCAUGCCUGUUUGAGUGUCAUUUAAAACUUCUCAACUGCUCCAAAAUGGUGUGGCUUGGAAAUGGGGGAGUGUGCAGGCUUUAGUCUGCUCCCCUGAAAUGUAUUAGUGGUGUCUGGGCAGACUACUACAGGUGUGAUAACUAUCAACGCCUUGGUAUAUACUGCAGAUUGUUGCUGCUUCCAACCUAAUGACCAACUUGACCUCAAAUCAGGUAGGAUUACCCGCUGAACU